This 776-nucleotide ribosomal RNA is filed under the name uncultured Neocallimastigales. RNAcentral describes it as "partial large subunit ribosomal RNA". It matches the Rfam family "Eukaryotic large subunit ribosomal RNA", at positions 24 to 645 of the family's 3401-position model. Lineage: Eukaryota; Fungi; Neocallimastigomycota; Neocallimastigomycetes; Neocallimastigales. The record is from RNAcentral.
UAUCUCUGUAGAGUCUGCAUAUCAAUAAGCGGAGGAAAAGAAACUAACUAGGAUUCCCUCAGUAACGGCGAGUGAAGCGGGAAGAGCUCAAAUUUGAAGUCUUCAAGGUUUUACCUUGACGAAUUGUAGUUUAAAGAAGUGUUUUCUGUUGGAUGUUUUGGUAAAAGUUCUUUGGAAUAGGACAUCAUAGAGGGUGAGAAUCCCGUAUUUGACCAUUACUUUCCAACUUUGUGAUACACUUUCAAAGAGUCGGAUUGUUUGGGAAUGCAGUCCAAAAUGGGUGGUAAAUUUCAUCUAAAGCUAAAUAUUGGCGAGAGACCGAUAGCGAACAAGUACCGUGAGGGAAAGAUGAAAAGAACUUUGAAAAGAGAGUUAAACAGUACGUGAAAUUGUCAAAAGGGAAGCGUUUGACACCAGUGUUGUUUUCUCGAAAAUCAAUUAAAAAUGGCAGGAUUUUGUGUUGUAUUGACUUUAUCAGCUUUCUGCACUUUUUUCCUGUCUUUUUUAAUGCACUUUUCGUUUAACAAGUCAACAUCAAUUUCUUUUGUUGUAAAAGGGUCAUUGGAAGGUGGCUUUCUUUUCGGAGAAAGUGUUUAUAGCCUUUGACUUCUGCAAUCGGAGAGAUUGAGGUCUGCAGCGUAGAUCCUUCGGGGUUAGAUACGUAGAUGCUAAGUUAUAGUUUUUUAUAGACAACUUGUUGACUAUAAUUAAUCAUGUAGCUUACUCGUUUGCGCUAUUUUACCUACGCUUAGGAUGUUGAUCUCUCACAGUCGAGC